RNAcentral lists this ribosomal RNA (229 nucleotides) under uncultured bacterium. RNAcentral's name for it is "partial 16S ribosomal RNA". It matches the Rfam family "Bacterial small subunit ribosomal RNA", at positions 568 to 796 of the family's 1533-position model. The record is from RNAcentral.
UCCGCAGGCGGGCAAUUAAGUCAGAGGUGAAAUCCCACAGCUCAACUGUGGAACUGCCUUUGAUACUGGUUGUCUUGAGUUAUAGUGAAGUAGAUAGAAUAUGUAGUGUAGCGGUGAAAUGCAUAGAUAUUACAUAGAAUACCGAUUGCGAAGGCAGUCUACUAACUAUAUACUGACGCUAAUGGACGAAAGCGUGGGGAGCGAACAGGAUUAGAUACCCUGGUAGUCC